RNAcentral lists this unclassified non-coding RNA (413 nucleotides) under Hevea brasiliensis (rubber tree). Lineage: Eukaryota; Viridiplantae; Streptophyta; Magnoliopsida; Malpighiales; Euphorbiaceae. The record is from RNAcentral.
GGAAAAAAGGGCGUAAUGGGAGCGGCCAAGAGUUACCCCCGAUCAAAUAUUUGCAUAUACAUGAAUGUGAUAACUUUUCUAUUGGAAUAUUUUGCCUGUCACCGUCAUCUGUAAUCCCACUCCAUAAUCAUCCUGGAAUGACUGUCCUGAGCAAGCUUUUGUACGGUUCAUUGUAUGUGAGAUCAUAUGAUUGGAUUGAUACAGGCAGAACCUUUGAUCCAUCAGAAGCGAGGCCAGCUAAACUCGUUAGGGACUGUGAAAUGUCUGCACCCUGUGGGACAACAGUUCUCUAUCCUACGGUUGGUGGUAACAUUCACUCUUUCAAGGCGAUAACACACUGUGCUCUGUUUGACAUUCUAUCGCCACCUUAUUCAUCAGAGGAUGGACGCCACUGUUCAUAUUUUCGAAAAUCC